This 74-nucleotide transfer RNA is filed under the name Ixodes scapularis (black-legged tick). It matches the Rfam family "tRNA". From Rfam's summary of the family: Transfer RNA (tRNA) molecules are approximately 80 nucleotides in length. Their secondary structure includes four short double-helical elements and three loops (D, anti-codon, and T loops). Further hydrogen bonds mediate the characteristic L-shaped molecular structure. tRNAs have two regions of fundamental functional importance: the anti-codon, which is responsible for specific mRNA codon recognition, and the 3' end, to which the tRNAs corresponding amino acid is attached (by aminoacyl-tRNA synthetases). tRNAs cope with the degeneracy of the genetic code in two manners: having more than one tRNA (with a specific anti-codon) for a particular amino acid; and 'wobble' base-pairing, i.e. permitting non-standard base-pairing at the 3rd anti-codon position. Lineage: Eukaryota; Metazoa; Arthropoda; Arachnida; Ixodida; Ixodidae. The record is from Rfam by way of RNAcentral.
CCCUGCUUAGCUCAACCUGUAGAGCGCUCCACUGGAAAAUGGAGAGGUCCCGGGUUCGAUGCUCGGACCAGGCG